Molecule: non-coding RNA, 171 nt
Filed under: uncultured eukaryote
Lineage: Eukaryota
Source: RNAcentral
AGAGCAAACAAACAAGCAAAUAUGGAAGAUACAAGAAAGGAAAGGGGGGAGAAGGGAAGAAAGAAGAAAAGAAAGGAUGGAUGGAUGGAUAGAUAGAUGGAUGGACGGAUGAAAGCAAGGUAGUCAUUUCCGCUGGGCUUAGUUUCGCUUCUUCUUCUUCUUCUUCUUCUU